GCCCCGGUAAACGGCGGCCGUAACUAUAACGGUCCUAAGGUAGCGAAAUUCCUUGUCGGGUAAGUUCCGACCUGCACGAAUGGCGUAAUGAUGGCCAGGCUGUCUCCACCCGAGACUCAGUGAAAUUGAACUCGCUGUGAAGAUGCAGUGUACCCGCGGCAAGACGGAAAGACCCCGUGAACCUUUACUAUAGCUUGACACUGAACAUUGAGCCUUGAUGUGUAGGAUAGGUGGGAGGCUUUGAAGUGUGGACGCCAGUCUGCAUGGAGCCGACCUUGAAAUACCACCCUUUAAUGUUUGAUGUUCUAACGUAGGCCCCUUAUCGGGGUUGCGGACAGUGUCUGGUGGGUAGUUUGACUGGGGCGGUCUCCUCCUAAAGAGUAACGGAGGAGCACGAAGGUUGGCUAAUCCUGGUCGGACAUCAGGAGGUUAGUGCAAUGGCAUAAGCCAGCUUGACUGCGAGCGUGACGGCGCGAGCAGGUGCGAAAGCAGGUCAUAGUGAUCCGGUGGUUCUGAAUGGAAGGGCCAUCGCUCAACGGAUAAAAGGUACUCCGGGGAUAACAGGCUGAUACCGCCCAAGAGUUCAUAUCGACGGCGGUGUUUGGCACCUCGAUGUCGGCUCAUCACAUCCUGGGGCUGAAGUAGGUCCCAAGGGUAUGGCUGUUCGCCAUUUAAAGUGGUACGCGAGCUGGGUUUAGAACGUCGUGAGACAGUUCGGUCCCUAUCUGCCGUGGGCGCUGGAGAACUGAGGGGGGCUGCUCCUAGUACGAGAGGACCGGAGUGGACGCAUCACUGGUGUUCGGGUUGUCAUGCCAAUGGCACUGCCCGGUAGCUAAAUGCGGAAGAGAUAAGUGCUGAAAGCAUCUAAGCACGAAACUUGCCCCGAGAUGAGUUCUCCCUGACCCUUUAAGGGUCCUGAAGGAACGUUGAAGACGACGACGUUGAUAGGCCGGGUGUGUAAGCGCAGCGAUGCGUUGAGCUAACCGGUACUAAUGAACCGUGAGG
This 1005-nucleotide ribosomal RNA is filed under the name Escherichia coli. RNAcentral describes it as "partial 23S ribosomal RNA". It matches the Rfam family "Bacterial large subunit ribosomal RNA", at positions 1917 to 2916 of the family's 2925-position model. Lineage: Bacteria; Pseudomonadati; Pseudomonadota; Gammaproteobacteria; Enterobacterales; Enterobacteriaceae. The record is from RNAcentral.